Molecule: small nucleolar RNA, 133 nt
Organism: Malus domestica (apple)
Lineage: Eukaryota; Viridiplantae; Streptophyta; Magnoliopsida; Rosales; Rosaceae
Source: RefSeq, a predicted model, not a curated record
AUCCCAGAAAAGCAGAGAAAAGGUGCUUUAUCUGAUUCAUAGGAGGCCAAUAGCAAAGUCUGUGGAGGGUUUCGCUGAUAAAUGCCUGUUUUUAAUCAUCACACGGCGUUUACUAGUAACUUUCCAUACAUUU